RNAcentral lists this ribosomal RNA (253 nucleotides) under uncultured bacterium. RNAcentral's name for it is "partial 16S ribosomal RNA". It matches the Rfam family "Bacterial small subunit ribosomal RNA", at positions 524 to 776 of the family's 1533-position model. The record is from RNAcentral.
GACAGAGGGUGCAAACGUUGUUCGGAAUUACUGGGCGUAAAGCGCGUGUAGGCGGCCCUGCAAGUCGGGUGUGAAAGCCCUCGGCUCAACCGAGGAAGUGCACUCGAAACUGCAAGGCUUGAGUCCCGGAGAGGAUAGUGGAAUUCUCGGUGUAGAGGUGAAAUUCGUAGAUAUCGAGAGGAACACCGGUGGCGAAGGCGGCUAUCUGGACGGUGACUGACGCUGAGACGCGAAAGCGUGGGGAGCAAACAGG